This 423-nucleotide ribosomal RNA is filed under the name uncultured bacterium. Its description in RNAcentral is "partial 16S ribosomal RNA". It matches the Rfam family "Bacterial small subunit ribosomal RNA", at positions 359 to 774 of the family's 1533-position model. The record is from RNAcentral.
GAAUAUUGGACAAUGGGCGCAAGCCUGAUCCAGCCAUACCGCGUGGGUGAAGAAGGCCUUCGGGUUGUAAAGCCCUUUUGUUGGGAAAGAAAAGCAGUCGAUUAAUACUCGGUUGGUCUGACGGUACCCAAAGAAAAACCACCGGCUCACUUCGUGCCAGCAGCCGCGGUAAUACGAAGGGUGCAAGCGUUACUCGGAAUUACUGGGCGUAAAGCGUGCGUAGGUGGUUGUGUAAGUCUGUUGUGAAAGCCCUGGGCUCAACCUGGGAAUUGCAGUGGAUACUGAGCGACUAGAGUGUGGGAGAGGGAAGUGGAAUUCCCGGUGUAGCAGUGAAAUGCGUAGAGAUCGGGAGGAACAUCCAUGGCGAAGGCAGCUACCUGGACCAACACUGACACUGAGGCACGAAAGCGUGGGGAGCAAACA